CCUGGUUGAUCCUGCCAGUAGCAUAUGCUUGUCUUAAAGACUAAGCCAUGCAUGUCUAAGUAUAAGUAUUAUACAGCGAAACUGCGAAUGGCUCAUUAAAACAGUUAUAGUUUAUUUGGUAAUGUUUUUACAUGGAUAACCGAGGUAAAUCUAGAGCUAAUACAUGCUGCAAAACCUGACUUCGUGGAAGGGUUGUAUUUAUUAGGUAUAAACCAAUACGCUGCAAGGCGUUUUGUGAUGAUUCAUAAUAACUGAGCGAAUCGUCUGCUUGUCAGACGAUAAACCAUUCAAGUUUCUGCCCUAUCAGCUUUCGAUGGUAGUGUAUUGGACUACCAUGGCUAUCACGGGUAACGGGGAAUUAGGGUUCGAUUCCGGAGAGGGAGCCUGAGAAACGGCUACCACAUCUAAGGAAGGCAGCAGGCGCGUAAAUUACCCAAUCCUGACUCAGGGAGGUAGUGACAAGAAAUAACAAACCGGGGCACUUUGUGCUUACGGGAUUGCAAUGAGCACAAUUUAAAACACUUAGCGAGGAACAAUUGGAGGGCAAGUCUGGUGCCAGCAGCCGCGGUAAUUCCAGCUCCAAUAGCGUAUAUUAAAGUUGUUGCAGUUAAAAAGCUCGUAGUCGAAUUUCUGGGCGGUGGUAUCAUGGCUUCGGUCAUGGUACGCCUGUCCAUCCGUCAGGGAAGUUCGUUCGUCCUUUAUUGGACGGCGGAGGGAACUGACAUUUUACUUUGAAAAAAUUAGAGUGUUUCAGGCAGGCAAUCGCUGGAAUACAUUAGCAUGGAAUGAUGGAAUAGGACUUUAGUCCAUUUUAUU
Molecule: ribosomal RNA, 816 nt
Filed under: uncultured ciliate
Lineage: Eukaryota; Ciliophora
Description: SSU rRNA
Rfam family: Eukaryotic small subunit ribosomal RNA
Source: RNAcentral